GAUGAACGCUGGCGGCGUGCUUAACACAUGCAAGUCGAACGAAGCACCUCGAUUUGCUUCUUCGGAUGGAGAUCUUGGUGACUGAGUGGCGGACGGGUUAGUAACGCGUGGGUAACAUGCCUCAUACAGGGGGGUAACAGUUAGAAAUGACUGCGAAUACCGCAUAAGACGACAGCACCGCAUGGUGCGGGGGGAAAAAGUCCGGUGGUAUGAGAGCGACCCGCGUCGGAUUUGGUAGUUGGUGGGGUAACGGCGUACCCAGCCGACGACCGGUAGCCGACGUGGGAGGGCGACAUGCCACAUUGGGACCGAGCCACAGUCCAAAGGCCUGCGGGAGGGAGGAGUGGGGAAUAUUGGACAAUGGGCGGAAGCCUGAUGGAGCCGCGCCGCGUGAGCGCUGAAGUGUUGUGGUAUGUAAUGCUCUGUGAGCAGGGAAGAUAAUGACGGUACCUGAAGAAGAAGCACCGGCUAAAUACGUG
Molecule: ribosomal RNA, 479 nt
Filed under: uncultured bacterium
Lineage: Bacteria
Description: partial 16S ribosomal RNA
Rfam family: Bacterial small subunit ribosomal RNA
Source: RNAcentral